This is a long non-coding RNA of Leptidea sinapis, 500 nucleotides long. RefSeq lists it as uncharacterized. The record is from RefSeq and is a predicted model, not a curated record. NCBI's taxonomy places the organism in Eukaryota, Metazoa, Arthropoda, Insecta, Lepidoptera, Pieridae. The transcript is spliced from 3 exons.
AAAUUCUCGUUAUGAAUAGUUUCUUCUAAAAGAUCGGUUUUUUUAUGUAAUAAAAUUGAGUGUGUGAUUUUCAGAAAAGUAGGGUAAUUAUAGUUUGACUUUGACAGUUCGACGAGGAAAAUUAUUUAGUUUUUGUGACACUUUUGUUGGGUGGACUCAAAUAAACAAAAUUUGAACUGAGUGAAUUCUUCUGUGAAAAUGUAUAUUAAAAUGAAAGGCUAAGUCAUUUCCUUCGAUUAAUAAUAAAUAUGUGUCGAGACAUAGGAAGCUAAAAAGAAAAUGUGAUAUUAUAAAAUAGUUAGAUAUAAUGUUUAAUUAAACUUAGAAUGUAGUUAGAUAGAUAGUGUUUGUUAUAAGGCCAGUAUUAGCAAUAGGAACAUCGAGUAAAUAGUAUUAUUAUAUUGAAUCUGAAUCUCAUACACUCAUCGACUUAAUCUGCAGUUUACUCUGAUUAACACGAGCAAAACUGGUGCUGGGGAUAGCGACCCUUGAUGGUUCAC